This 433-nucleotide ribosomal RNA is filed under the name uncultured bacterium. RNAcentral's name for it is "partial 16S ribosomal RNA". It matches the Rfam family "Bacterial small subunit ribosomal RNA", at positions 29 to 507 of the family's 1533-position model. The record is from RNAcentral.
AACGAACGCUGGCGGCAUGCCUAACACAUGCAAGUCGAACGAGACCUUCGGGUCUAGUGGCGCACGGGUGCGUAACGCGUGGGAACCUGCCCUUAGGUUCGGAAUAACUCCCCGAAAGGGGUGCUAAUACCGGAUAAUUUCUUCGGACCAAAGAUUUAUCGCCUUUGGAUGGGCCCGCGUUGGAUUAGCUAGUUGGUAGGGUAAAAGCCUACCAAGGCGACGAUCCAUAGCUGGUCUGAGAGGAUGAUCAGCCACACUGGGACUGAGACACGGCCCAGACUCCUACGGGAGGCAGCAGUGGGGGAUAUUGGACAAGGGGCGAAAGCCUGAUCCAGCAAUGCCGCGUGAGUGAUGAAGGCCUUAGGGUUGUAAAGCUCUUUUACCCGGGAUGAUAAUGACAGUACCGGGAGAAUAAGCUCCGGCUAACUCCGUG